RNAcentral lists this ribosomal RNA (263 nucleotides) under uncultured bacterium. RNAcentral's name for it is "partial 16S ribosomal RNA". It matches the Rfam family "Bacterial small subunit ribosomal RNA", at positions 95 to 354 of the family's 1533-position model. The record is from RNAcentral.
CCGGCGCACGGGUGAGUAACACGUAUGCAACCUGGCCGUCACAGGUGGAUAACCGGAAGAAAUUCCGACUAAUACAGCAUAACACUCCUGAGGGACAUCCUUCGGGAGUCAAAGGAGGCAACUCCGGUGACGGAUGGGCAUGCGGCGCAUUAGGUAGUUGGUAGGGUAACGGCCUACCAAGCCGACGAUGCGUAGGGGUUCUGAGAGGAAGGUCCCCCACAUUGGAACUGAGACACGGACCAGACUCCUACGGAAGGCAGCAG